CAGUAGCCGCGGGAAUGCGUAGGUGGCAAGCGUUGUCCGGAAUUAUUGGGCGUAAAGGGCUCGCAGGCGGUUUCUUAAGUCUGAUGUGAAAGCCCCCGGCUCAACCGGGGAGGGUCAUUGGAAACUGGGAAACUUGAGUGCAGAAGAGGAGAGUGGAAUUCCACGUGUAGCGGUGAAAUGCGUAGAGAUGUGGAGGAACACCAGUGGCGAAGGCGACUCUCUGGUCUGUAACUGACGCUGAGGAGCGAAAGCGUGGGGAGCGAACAGGAUUAGAUACCCCGGUAGUCCCUGUCUCUUAUAC
RNAcentral lists this ribosomal RNA (301 nucleotides) under uncultured bacterium. RNAcentral describes it as "partial 16S ribosomal RNA". It matches the Rfam family "Bacterial small subunit ribosomal RNA", at positions 509 to 807 of the family's 1533-position model. The record is from RNAcentral.